RNAcentral lists this RNase P RNA (315 nucleotides) under bovine gut metagenome. RNAcentral's name for it is "Bacterial RNase P class B". It matches the Rfam family "Bacterial RNase P class B". From Rfam's summary of the family: Ribonuclease P (RNase P) is a ubiquitous endoribonuclease, found in archaea, bacteria and eukarya as well as chloroplasts and mitochondria. Its best characterised activity is the generation of mature 5'-ends of tRNAs by cleaving the 5'-leader elements of precursor-tRNAs. The record is from RNAcentral.
CAGACAAUCGCUGAGAGAUCAGAGGAAAGUCCAUGCUCGCACAUCCUGCGACGGAUGUAGUGUUUAUGCCAAGUGAAACGAUAAGCUUGGGCAGCGUAAGCUGACGGCUGGCGAAUAUCCUAAAGAGAGAUCCAUGGAGAUAGCCUGUAAAAGUGUCAAAGUGACGAAUAAGCAGAAAUGCGGAAAUGGAACGUGAUAAACCCCGUAAGCGAGAAACCCAAAUUUGGUAGGGGAACCUGGGAUAGCAAAAUGAAGUGAUUUCCGGGGCAUGAAAAUGCAGAUAAAUGAUUGUCCAGUACAGAACAUGGCUUAUUG